Non-coding RNA from Cinara cedri, 636 nucleotides. The record is from the annotation of a GenBank genome assembly. NCBI's taxonomy places the organism in Eukaryota, Metazoa, Arthropoda, Insecta, Hemiptera, Aphididae.
UUUAGACGGGAUUUAUAGAAAAGGGGAAUUUUUAGAUGAUAAUCCUAAUUAAAUACGGCUCCUGCCACUCCGGCAUAAAUCCCGUUAUAACUCUUAUAACUCGUAAACGGCAAAUCCGACAACUGGUCUGAAAAUAAAUUCGGGGAAUAAUUUGACGUUUGAAAAUUACAAUUCGAUAUAUUAUUAUAUUUGUGACGUACGGGACAAGGGCGAAUGUAUUGCGAAUGCGAUAUUUCUAACGGUUCUGUACAUAAUAUGUUAAAGAAUUAUAACAAUAUUCAUUGAAGAAAUAAAACCGAAACCAAUUUUACGCGAAAUCUUUGUUGGUAUAGUCUCUAGAUAGCGUUAAACGAAAUUCACCCCGUAUAAUACAUUCGAUUUCGAUCGCAAGACGAUGUUAAAAUACAAUUAAUAAUUUAUUAUUCGAUACGAGGGAGUAGUUUUAUCGUGCGCAGUGCUUUUGCAGUUGUAAAAUCCAAUAAAAAAUAUCCGGUGUAAUUAUUAACAAUUAUUAUUAUACUCGAAUACGAUAAUGUAACCGCAUCAGCAGUUAAGUAUAACUGGUAUACUAAUAAUUAUUAUUAAUAAGCGACGGUUUUUAAAAUGUUAAGUCACUGCGACGACAGUUUCUGCGAC